AUGCUGUGGUGUGGGCAUGCUUGAAUGUAAUCCUGGAGACGUUCCUAGACUUCUGGGAUGGUCUCAUCCUGGACUUGUUGAAUCCCAGAGAUCCUGUUCCGAAGGGC
Molecule: small nucleolar RNA, 107 nt
Organism: Panicum virgatum (switchgrass)
Lineage: Eukaryota; Viridiplantae; Streptophyta; Magnoliopsida; Poales; Poaceae
Source: RefSeq, a predicted model, not a curated record